UGGCGGCCUUAGCGCGGUGGUCCCACCUGACCCCAUGCCGAACUCAGAAGUGAAACGCCGUAGCGCCGAUGGUAGCGAGAGUAGGGAACUGCCAGGCA
RNAcentral lists this ribosomal RNA (98 nucleotides) under Escherichia coli. Lineage: Bacteria; Pseudomonadati; Pseudomonadota; Gammaproteobacteria; Enterobacterales; Enterobacteriaceae. The record is from RNAcentral.